This 425-nucleotide ribosomal RNA is filed under the name uncultured bacterium. RNAcentral's name for it is "partial 16S ribosomal RNA". It matches the Rfam family "Bacterial small subunit ribosomal RNA", at positions 354 to 796 of the family's 1533-position model. The record is from RNAcentral.
GUGGGGAAUCUUGCGCAAUGGGCGAAAGCCUGACGCAGCCAUGCCGCGUGAAUGAUGAAGGUCUUAGGAUUGUAAAAUUCUUUCACCGGGGACGAUAAUGACGGUACCCGGAGAAGAAGCUCCGGCUAACUUCGUGUCAGCAGCCGCGGUAAUACGAAGGGGGCUAGCGUUGCUCGGAAUUACUGGGCGUAAAGGGCGCGUAGGCGGACAGCUUAGUCAGAGGUGAAAGCCCAGGGCUCAACCUUGGAAUUGCCUUUGAUACUGGCUGUCUUGAGUACGGGAGAGGUGAGUGGAACUCCGAGUGUAGAGGUGAAAUUCGUAGAUAUUCGGAAGAACACCAGUGGCGAAGGCGACUCACUGGCCCGUUACUGACGCUGAGGCGCGAAAGCGUGGGGAGCAAACAGGAUUAGAUACCCUUGUAGUCC